RNAcentral lists this ribosomal RNA (439 nucleotides) under uncultured bacterium. Its description in RNAcentral is "partial 16S ribosomal RNA". It matches the Rfam family "Bacterial small subunit ribosomal RNA", at positions 339 to 795 of the family's 1533-position model. The record is from RNAcentral.
CUACGGGGCGCUCCAGUGAGGAAUAUUGCACAAUGGGGGGAACCCUGAUGCAGCAACGCCGCGUGGAGGAUGACGCAUUUCGGUGUGUAAACUCCUUUUAUAUGUCAAGAAAAUGACGGUAGCAUAUGAAUAAGCACCGGCUAACUCCGUGCCAGCAGCCGCGGUAAUACGGAGGGUGCAAGCGUUAAUCGGAAUCACUGGGCGUAAAGGACGCGUAGGCGGUUUGGAAAGUCUGGUGUGAAAUCCUACAGCUUAACUGUAGAACUGCACUUGAAACUUCUAAUCUAGAGUAUGGGAGGGGGAGAUGGAAUUAGUGGUGUAGGGGUAAAAUCCGUAGAUAUCACUAGGAAUACCUAAAGCGAAGGCGAUCUCCUGGAACAUUACUGACGCUAAGGCGUGAAAGCGUGGGGAGCAAACAGGAUUAGAUACCCGAGUAGUC